RNAcentral lists this long non-coding RNA (933 nucleotides) under Homo sapiens (human). Its description in RNAcentral is "HSALNT0253537". The record is from RNAcentral. Lineage: Eukaryota; Metazoa; Chordata; Mammalia; Primates; Hominidae.
CACAGUAAGAAUGGCUUCAUCAAACGGAUUGGAAUACUAAAAAAAAAAUCCUAGCUUAGGCUUCCUCAGCUCUGGAAAAUAUUAUACUUUAACGUCCGUGGCCCCGUGAGCCUCUGGCCGCCCCCUCCAGGACUCAGUGCUGGCAGCCUCUUUCUGCAUGAAUGCAGCAUUUCCUAGUGUGCAGUGGAUCAACUUGGGGUGAAUUGUGGCAGUCUUGGGAGACAUCUUGUGUUUUAAGAUUAUUUGUCCAUCUUUUCUCUCAGGUGUUGAUUUCAUAAUUUAACCUUUACAAGGUGAUGGCAUUUUCCUCAUCAUCAAGUUCUGGUGAGGCUUCACAUGGUAACCACCUAACUGCAAUGCCUUUGAGCCAAUAACAAUCAAGGCCAACAAUAGCAAGCUGGUUUAAGAAAAAAAUCAGUGCAAUCCCUGAUUAUAGGCUGUCUGGGCAGAGGCAGAUUUAUAAAACGUGGAAAGCGUGAUCUUACUCAGAAUUGACAGUACCAGCCAGCCUUCCUUUUGCCAUGAUUCCUGUGUUUUAUUUAGAAGGGGCUGGCGCACAGACCCAUUCUGAGACCCUGAUGACAGCUGAGGACUCUCUCCUGGGAAAAAAGCACAAGCUCCCUCUGCUGCCUCCACAUGGACACACACACACAAACAUAUACACUCACACACAUACACACAGAGAUACACACAUACCUCCAGUGCACACUCAUGCAUCCACAGGCACUCAUACACACUCACACACACACACACACAGAGACACAAACAUACAUAUAGAGAUACACACAUACCAACAUCACACAUCCACAUCCACAGGCACUCUAACACACACACACAGACACAUAUAUACAAAUACACACAGAGACACAUAUAUACAUACAACAUACACAUGUAUCCACAGGCACUCACACACAUACACUCUCACACACUCAU